UUCACAAGCACAAGUAGAUAUGAAAACUUUAACUACACAAAAAUACUUAUUCAACUCUUGAUACAAUCAUUUAACUCACAUAUAACAUUCAAAAGUUCCUCCUCAUCAUUCUGUGAAUGAUAUAACAACAUAAAUACUCAACAAUAUUUCAAAACUUUCCAAUAGCUCUUCUAAUAUCAAUCAAGUCGACAACAUAAGGAGUCACGUAACUUUAGAUUGUAAAUCAUGAUUCCAAAUGGUAGAAACCAAAUUAAAAAACAACUUAAACUACUUCUCCUUCGUACCAAACUACUUGCUAAUGCAAUUGUCCAAAUAAACCUUAUUUCAUGAAUUUUCUCCUAUUUAAUCACUCUUUUGACCUUAUUACUUAAUAAUUAUGCAAGAUCAUAAUCAACUUCUACUACAUAAGAUCCAUUCUCAUCUCUACUUCUCUUGGCAGGAUUCCAUGAAGGAGAAAGUAUCCCAUUAUCAGUCAUGAAAACCUACAAAAAGAAAAUAGUUAACAAAAAAUCAAAAAAGAUAAAUAAAUUAUUAGAAUUGUUAUAAAUAGACUUCUAUUUAAGGUGAAUGUCUAUAAUUAGAGAGAUUCUAGAGU
RNAcentral lists this long non-coding RNA (595 nucleotides) under Nicotiana benthamiana. Its description in RNAcentral is "long non-coding RNA (NBEN_LNC002405)". The record is from RNAcentral. Lineage: Eukaryota; Viridiplantae; Streptophyta; Magnoliopsida; Solanales; Solanaceae.